This 398-nucleotide ribosomal RNA is filed under the name uncultured soil bacterium. Its description in RNAcentral is "bacterial SSU rRNA". It matches the Rfam family "Bacterial small subunit ribosomal RNA", at positions 26 to 424 of the family's 1533-position model. The record is from RNAcentral.
AGAUUGAACGCUGGCGGAAUGCUUUACACAUGCAAGUCGAACGGCAGCACGGGGGUAACCCUGGUGGCGAGUGGCGAACGGGUGAGUAAUACAUCGGAACGUGCCCAGUCGUGGGGGAUAACGUAGCGAAAGCUACGCUAAUACCGCAUACGAACUCUGGUUGAAAGCGGGGGACUCGCAAGAGCCUCGCGCGAUUGGAGCGGCCGAUGGCAGAUUAGGUAGUUGGUGGGGUAAAGGCUCACCAAGCCUGCGAUCUGUAGCUGGUCUGAGAGGACGACCAGCCACACUGGGACUGAGACACGGCCCAGACUCCUACGGGAGGCAGCAGUGGGGAAUUUUGGACAAUGGGCGAAAGCCUGAUCCAGCCAUGCCGCGUGUGUGAAGAAGGUCUUCGGAUU